CGGGGUGGGGAAGCUAAACAUGCAAGUCGAGCGGUAGAGAGAAGCUUGCUUCUCUUGAGAGCGGCGGACGGGUGAGUAAUGCCUAGGAAUCUGCCUGGUAGUGGGGGAUAACGUUCGGAAACGGACGCUAAUACCGCAUACGUCCUACGGGAGAAAGCAGGGGACCUUCGGGCCUUGCGCUAUCAGAUGAGCCUAGGUCGGAUUAGCUAGUUGGUGGGGUAAUGGCUCACCAAGGCGACGAUCCGUAACUGGUCUGAGAGGAUGAUCAGUCACACUGGAACUGAGACACGGUCCAGACUCCUACGGGAGGCAGCAGUGGGGAAUAUUGGACAAUGGGCGAAAGCCUGAUCCAGCCAUGCCGCGUGUGUGAAGAAGGUCUUCGGAUUGUAAAGCACUUUAAGUUGGGAGGAAGGGUUGUAGAUUAAUACUCUGCAAUUUUGACGUUACCGACAGAAUAAGCACCGGCUAACUCUGUGCCAGCAGCCGCGGUAAUACAGAGGGUGCAAGCGUUAAUCGGAAUUACUGGGCGUAAAGCGCGCGUAGGUGGUUAGUUAAGUUGGAUGUGAAAUCCCCGGGCUCAACCUGGGAACUGCAUUCAAAACUGACUGACUAGAGUAUGGUAGAGGGUGGUGGAAUUUCCUGUGUAGCGGUGAAAUGCGUAGAUAUAGGAAGGAACACCAGUGGCGAAGGCGACCACCUGGACUGAUACUGACACUGAGGUGCGAAAGCGUGGGGAGCAAACAGGAUUAGAUACCCUGGUAGUCCACGCCGUAAACGAUGUCAACUAGCCGUUGGGAGCCUUGAGCUCUUAGUGGCGCAGCUAACGCAUUAAGUUGACCGCCUGGGGAGUACGGCCGCAAGGUUAAAACUCAAAUGAAUUGACGGGGGCCCGCACAAGCGGUGGAGCAUGUGGUUUAAUUCGAAGCAACGCGAAGAACCUUACCAGGCCUUGACAUCCAAUGAACUUUCUAGAGAUAGAUUGGUGCCUUCGGGAACAUUGAGACAGGUGCUGCAUGGCCUGUCGUCAGCUCGUGUCGUGAGAUGUUGGGUAAGUCCCGUAACGGAGCGCAACUCCUUGUCCUAGUACCAGCACGUAAUGUGGCACCCCUAAGGAGACUGCCGGUGACAAACCCGGAGAAGGUGGGGGAAUGACGUCAAGUCAUCAUGGUCC
RNAcentral lists this ribosomal RNA (1171 nucleotides) under Pseudomonas sp. Its description in RNAcentral is "bacterial SSU rRNA". It matches the Rfam family "Bacterial small subunit ribosomal RNA", at positions 38 to 1201 of the family's 1533-position model. The record is from RNAcentral. Lineage: Bacteria; Pseudomonadati; Pseudomonadota; Gammaproteobacteria; Pseudomonadales; Pseudomonadaceae.